Molecule: ribosomal RNA, 251 nt
Filed under: uncultured prokaryote
Description: partial 16S rRNA
Rfam family: Bacterial small subunit ribosomal RNA
Source: RNAcentral
ACGUAGGGGGCAAGAGUUGUCCGGAAUGAUUGGGCGUAAAGGGCGCGUAGGCGGCCUGGUAAGUCUGGAGUGAAAGUCCUGCUUUUAAGGUGGGAAUUGCUUUGGAUACUGUCGGGCUUGAGUGCAGGAGAGGUAAGUGGAAUUCCCGGUGUAGCGUUGAAAUGCGUAGAGAUCGGGAGGAACACCAGUGGUGAAGGCGACUUACUGGACUGUAACUGACGCUGAGGCGAGUAAGUGUUGUGUGCGAACAG